Molecule: ribosomal RNA, 435 nt
Filed under: uncultured bacterium
Lineage: Bacteria
Description: partial 16S ribosomal RNA
Rfam family: Bacterial small subunit ribosomal RNA
Source: RNAcentral
AACGAACGCUGGCGGCAUGCCUAACACAUGCAAGUCGAACGAUUGCCUUCGGGUGAUAGUGGCGCACGGGUGCGUAACGCGUGGGAAUCUGCCCUUAGGUUCGGAAUAACAGCUGGAAACGGCUGCUAAUACCGGAUGAUAUCGCGAGAUCAAAGAUUUAUCGCCUGAGGAUGAGCCCGUGUUGGAUUAGGUAGUUGGUGGGGUAAAGGCCUACCAAGCCGACGAUCCAUAGCUGGUCUGAGAGGAUGAUCAGCCACACUGGGACUGAGACACGGCCCAGACUCCUACGGGAGGCAGCAGUGGGGAAUAUUGGACAAUGGGCGCAAGCCUGAUCCAGCAAUGCCGCGUGAGUGAUGAAGGCCCUAGGGUUGUAAAGCUCUUUUACCCGGGAAGAUAAUGACUGUACCGGGAGAAUAAGCCCCGGCUAACUCCGUG